GACGGAAGGUGCAAGCGUUGCUCGGAAUCACUGGGCGUAAAGGGUGCGUAGGCGGCCGUGCAAGUCUGGCGUGAAAGCCCCGGGCUCAGCCCGGGAAGUGCGCUCGAAACUGCGCGGCUCGAGUGCCGGAGGGGAGAGUGGAAUUCCUGGUGUAGCGGUGAAAUGCGUAGAUAUCAGGAAGAACACCUAUGGCGAAGGCAGCACUCUGGGACGGUACUGACGCUGAGACGCGAAAGCGUGGGGAGCGAACAGG
RNAcentral lists this ribosomal RNA (253 nucleotides) under uncultured bacterium. RNAcentral's name for it is "partial 16S ribosomal RNA". It matches the Rfam family "Bacterial small subunit ribosomal RNA", at positions 524 to 776 of the family's 1533-position model. The record is from RNAcentral.